CCUACGGGAGGCAGCAGUGGGGAAUUUUGGACAAUGGGCGCAAGCCUGAUCCAGCAAUGCCGCGUGAGUGAAGAAGGCCUUCGGGUUGUAAAGCUCUUUUGUCAGGGAAGAAACGGUGGGAGCUAAUAUCUCCUGCUAAUGACGGUACCUGAAGAAUAAGCACCGGCUAACUACGUGCCAGCAGCCGCGGUAAUACGUAGGGUGCAAGCGUUAAUCGGAAUUACUGGGCGUAAAGCGUGCGCAGGCGGUUUUGUAAGACUGUCGUGAAAUCCCCGGGCUCAACCUGGGAAUGGCGAUGGUGACUGCAAGGCUAGAGUUUGGCAGAGGGGGGUAGAAUUCCACGUGUAGCAGUGAAAUGCGUAGAUAUGUGGAGGAACACCGAUGGCGAAGGCAGCCCCCUGGGUCAAAACUGACGCUCAUGCACGAAAGCGUGGGGAGCAAACAGGAUUAGAUACCCUGGUAGUCCACGCCCUAAACGAUGUCUACUAGUUGUCGGGUCUUAAUUGACUUGGUAACGCAGCUAACGCGUGAAGUAGACCGCCUGGGGAGUACGGUCGCAAGAUUAAAAACUCAAAAUGAAGUUAGUACGGCGUGAGACGUAGCCGACGGACGACGACGAGGGAGGAGGAG
RNAcentral lists this ribosomal RNA (630 nucleotides) under uncultured bacterium. Its description in RNAcentral is "bacterial SSU rRNA". It matches the Rfam family "Bacterial small subunit ribosomal RNA", at positions 338 to 1416 of the family's 1533-position model. The record is from RNAcentral.